RNAcentral lists this ribosomal RNA (479 nucleotides) under uncultured bacterium. Its description in RNAcentral is "partial 16S ribosomal RNA". It matches the Rfam family "Bacterial small subunit ribosomal RNA", at positions 28 to 507 of the family's 1533-position model. The record is from RNAcentral.
GAUGAACGCUAGCGGGAGGCCUAACACAUGCAAGCCGAACGGUAGAGUUUCUUCGGAAACUUGAGAGCGGCGCACGGGUGCGUAACACGUGUGCAACCUACCUUUAUCUGGGGGAUAGCCUUUCGAAAGGAAGAUUAAUACCCCAUAAUAUAAUGAUUGGCAUCAAUUAUUAUUGAAAACUCCGGUGGAUAGAGAUGGGCACGCGCAAGAUUAGAUAGUUGGUGAGGUAACGGCUCACCAAGUCAAUGAUCUUUAGGGGUCCUGAGAGGGAGAUCCCCCACACUGGUACUGAGACACGGACCAGACUCCUACGGGAGGCAGCAGUGAGGAAUAUUGGACAAUGGGUGAGAGCCUGAUCCAGCCAUCCCGCGUGAAGGAUGACGGUCCUAUGGAUUGUAAACUUCUUUUGUACAGGGAUAAACCUACCCUCGUGAGGGUAGCUGAAGGUACUGUACGAAUAAGCACCGGCUAACUCCGUG